Molecule: long non-coding RNA, 91 nt
Organism: Cebus imitator (Panamanian white-faced capuchin)
Lineage: Eukaryota; Metazoa; Chordata; Mammalia; Primates; Cebidae
Exons: 2
Source: RefSeq, a predicted model, not a curated record
AUUUACUGUGGGGACAAGAGAGUCAUUUGUAAGCACUCCCUUUGGCUGCCAGAGUUUUCUUCAGAAAAUCAAAGUCCAACUUUGCAUUGAG